Molecule: transfer RNA, 68 nt
Filed under: Laodelphax striatellus (small brown planthopper)
Lineage: Eukaryota; Metazoa; Arthropoda; Insecta; Hemiptera; Delphacidae
Description: tRNA-Val
Source: RNAcentral
CAGAUAGAUUCAUGGCGAAAUAAUUUUUUACAAUAAUUACUUUAACUGUUCAAUUCAGUUUUGUCUGA